UGAGGAAUAUUGGUCAAUGGGCGAGAGCCUGAACCAGCCAAGUAGCGUGCAGGAUGACGGCCCUAUGGGUUGUAAACUGCUUUUAUGUGGGGAUAAAGUGCGUGACGUGUCAUGCAUUGCAGGAACCACAUGAAUAAGGACCGGCUAAUUCCGUGCCAGCAGCCGCGGUAAUACGGAAGGUCCGGGCGUUAUCCGGAUUUAUUGGGUUUAAAGGGAGCGUAGGCUGUCUAUUAAGCGUGUUGUGAAAUAUACCGGCUCAACCGGUGGCUUGCAGCGCGAACUGGUCGACUUGAGUAUGCAGGAAGUAGGCGGAAUUCAUGGUGGAGCGGUGAAAUGCUUAGAUAUCAUGACGAACUCCGAUUGCGCAGGCAGCUUACUGUAGCAUAACUGACGCUGAUGCUCGAAAGUGCGGGUAUCAAACAGG
This 424-nucleotide ribosomal RNA is filed under the name Verrucomicrobiota bacterium. RNAcentral describes it as "Verrucomicrobia bacterium partial 16S ribosomal RNA". It matches the Rfam family "Bacterial small subunit ribosomal RNA", at positions 355 to 776 of the family's 1533-position model. The record is from RNAcentral. Lineage: Bacteria; Pseudomonadati; Verrucomicrobiota.